RNAcentral lists this ribosomal RNA (405 nucleotides) under uncultured bacterium. RNAcentral's name for it is "partial 16S ribosomal RNA". It matches the Rfam family "Bacterial small subunit ribosomal RNA", at positions 30 to 526 of the family's 1533-position model. The record is from RNAcentral.
AUUGAACGCUGGCGGCAGGCCUAACACAUGCAAGUCGAACGAGUGGCGGACGGGUGAGUAAUGUCUGGAAAAUGGCUGAAGGAAGGGGAUAACUACUGGAAACGGUAGCUAAUACCUCAUAGCAUACGAUUUGCCCCGAUGGGAUUGGCUAGUUGGUGGGGUAACGGCUAACCAAGGCGACGAUCCCUAGCUGGUCUGGGAGGAUGACCAGCCAAACUGGAACUGAGACACGGUCCAGACUCCUACGGGAGGCAGCAGUGGGGAAUAUUGCACAAUGGGCGCAAGCCUGAUGCAGCCAUGCCGCGUGUAUGAAGAAGGCCUUCGGGUUGUAAAGUACUUUCAGCGGGGAGGCGUUACCCGCAGAAGAAGCACCGGCUAACUCCGUGCCAGCAGCCGCGGUAAUAC